AUACGGAGGGUGCAAGCGUUAUUCGGAAUCACUGGGCGUAAAGGACGCGUAGGCGGGUUGGCAAGUCAGAUGAGAAAUCCUACAGCUUAACUGUAGAACUGCAUUUGAAACUGCUAACCUAGAGUAUGGGAGGGGGAGAUGGAAUUAGUGGUGUAGGGGUAAAAUCCGUAGAUAUCACUAGGAAUACCGAAAGCGAAGGCGAUCUCCUGGAACAUAACUGACGCUAAGGCGUGAAAGCGUGGGGAGCAAACAGGAUUAGAAACCCCUGUAGUCC
Molecule: ribosomal RNA, 274 nt
Filed under: uncultured bacterium
Lineage: Bacteria
Description: partial 16S ribosomal RNA
Rfam family: Bacterial small subunit ribosomal RNA
Source: RNAcentral